RNAcentral lists this ribosomal RNA (257 nucleotides) under uncultured prokaryote. RNAcentral describes it as "partial 16S ribosomal RNA". It matches the Rfam family "Bacterial small subunit ribosomal RNA", at positions 524 to 780 of the family's 1533-position model. The record is from RNAcentral.
UACGGAGGAUCCAAGCGUUAUCCGGAUUUAUUGGGUUUAAAGGGUGCGCAGGCGGAAGAUUAAGUCGGCGGUGAAAUUUUGCAGCUCAACUGUAAAAGUGCCAUCGAUACUGGUUUUCUUGAGUGUGGAUGAAGUAGGCGGAAUCUGUGGUGUAGCGGUGAAAUGCAUAGAUAUCACGAGGAACUCCGAUUGCGCAGGCAGCUUACUAGGCCAUAACUGACGCUCAGGCACGAAGGCGUGGGGAUCAAACAGGAUUA